GAUGAACGCUAGCAGAACGCUUAACGCAUGCAAGUCGAGCGAUUCUCUUCGGAGAAGAGCGGCGGACGGGUGAGUAACGCGUGGGUAACCUGCCCUAUACACACGGAUAACAUACCGAAAGGUAUGCUAAUACGAGAUAAUAUGCUUUUAUCGCAUGGUAGAAGUAUCAAAGCUCCGGCGGUACAGGAUGGACCCGCGUCUGAUUAGCUAGUUGGUAAGGUAACGGCUUACCAAGGCGACGAUCAGUAGCCGACCUGAGAGGGUGAUCGGCCACAUUGGAACUGAGACACGGUCCAAACUCCUACGGGAGGCAGCAGUGGGGAAUAUUGCACAAUGGGCGAAAGCCUGAUGCAGCAACGCCGCGUGAGCGAUGAAGGCCUUCGGGUCGUAAAGCUCUGUCCUCAAGGAAGAUAAUGACGGUACUUGAGGAGGAAGCCCCGGCUAACUACGUGCCAGCCGCCGCGGUAA
Molecule: ribosomal RNA, 468 nt
Filed under: uncultured bacterium
Lineage: Bacteria
Description: partial 16S ribosomal RNA
Rfam family: Bacterial small subunit ribosomal RNA
Source: RNAcentral